RNAcentral lists this ribosomal RNA (467 nucleotides) under uncultured bacterium. Its description in RNAcentral is "partial 16S ribosomal RNA". It matches the Rfam family "Bacterial small subunit ribosomal RNA", at positions 28 to 506 of the family's 1533-position model. The record is from RNAcentral.
GACGAACGCUGGCGGCGUGCUUAACACAUGCAAGUCGAACGGAAAGGCCCUGCUUUUGUGGGGUGCUCGAGUGGCGAACGGGUGAGUAACACGUGAGUAACCUGCCCUUGACUUUGGGAUAACUUUAGGAAACUGGGGCUAAUACCGGAUAGGAGCUCCUGCUGCAUGGUGGGGGUUGGAAAGUUUCGGCGGUUGGGGAUGGACUCGCGGCUUAUCAGCUUGUUGGUGGGGUAGUGGCUUACCAAGGCUUUGACGGGUAGCCGGCCUGAGAGGGUGACCGGCCACAUUGGGACUGGGAUACGACCCAGACUCCAACGGGGGGCAGCAGUGGGGAAUAUUGCACAAUGGGCGGAAGCCUGAUGCAGCAACGCCGCGUGCGGGAUGACGGCCUUCGGGUUGUAAACCGCUUUCGCCUGUGACGAAGCGUGAGUGACGGUAAUGGGUAAAGAAGCACCGGCUAACUACGU